RNAcentral lists this ribosomal RNA (435 nucleotides) under uncultured bacterium 'eubacterium sp.'. Its description in RNAcentral is "bacterial SSU rRNA". It matches the Rfam family "Bacterial small subunit ribosomal RNA", at positions 29 to 507 of the family's 1533-position model. RNAcentral also lists the same sequence under 1 other name. The record is from RNAcentral.
AACGAACGCUGGCGGCAGGCUUAACACAUGCAAGUCGAACGCUCGUAGCAAUACGGGAGUGGCAGACGGGUGAGUAACGCGUGGGAACAUACCCUUUGGUUCGGAAUAACUGAGAGAAAUUUCAGCUAAUACCGGAUGUGCCCUUCGGGGGAAAGAUUUAUCGCCAAAGGAUUGGCCCGCGUCUGAUUAGCUAGUUGGUGAGGUAACGGCCCACCAAGGCGACGAUCAGUAGCUGGUCUGAGAGGAUGAUCAGCCACACUGGGACUGAGACACGGCCCAGACUCCUACGGGAGGCAGCAGUGGGGAAUAUUGGACAAUGGGGGCAACCCUGAUCCAGCCAUGCCGCGUGAGUGAUGAAGGCCUUAGGGUUGUAAAGCUCUUUCGUCAGGGAAGAUAAUGACGGUACCUGAAGAAGAAGCCCCGGCUAACUUCGUG